RNAcentral lists this ribosomal RNA (253 nucleotides) under uncultured prokaryote. RNAcentral describes it as "partial 16S ribosomal RNA". It matches the Rfam family "Bacterial small subunit ribosomal RNA", at positions 525 to 777 of the family's 1533-position model. The record is from RNAcentral.
ACGAAGGGGGUUAGCGUUGUUCGGAAUCACUGGGCGUAAAGGGCGCGUAGGCGGCUUUGUAAGUCGGGGGUGAAAGCCUGUGGCUCAACCACAGAAUUGCCUUCGAUACUGCAUGGCUUGAGACCGGAAGAGGUUAGUGGAACUGCGAGUGUAGAGGUGAAAUUCGUAGAUAUCAGGAGGAACACCGGUGGCGAAGGCGGGUCUCUGGGCCGAAACUGACGCUGAGGAGCGAAAGCGUGGGGAGCGAACAGGA